Molecule: long non-coding RNA, 1770 nt
Filed under: Canis lupus familiaris (dog)
Lineage: Eukaryota; Metazoa; Chordata; Mammalia; Carnivora; Canidae
Description: lncRNA (ENSCAFG00000058844.1)
Source: RNAcentral
UUUUUUUUUUUUUUAAGACAGUAGGGCUGCUAGUAUAGAAAAUAGAUUUUAUACAGCUAGAAUGAAACUAACAUAGUUAAGAGGCUAUUACAGUCAGUAAGGUGAGAGAUGGUUGUGGCUUAGACUGAAGUAGUACCAGUGGAGAUGCAAGUAGACUUGGAAAAAGUUUUGGAAGUACAAUACAGUAUUUACCGACAGGCUACAUAUAGGAGGUGGAGAAUCGACAAUACUUCCUAGAAUUUUAGUUCGUGCAACUAAGUGGAUAGUUUCAUCAACUGCAGUGGGGAAGCCUAUUUGGGGGGUGUGGUGGAAGGAAUCCAGAAUUCUGUUUGGGAUAUGUUAACUUGGAGAUGUGUAUUAGCUAUCUAAGUGAAUAUGUCAAGAAAGCAGAACUGGGUCUCAGAGGAGAAUUUGGGAGUCAUCAGCAUAUAAGUAGUAUUUAUAGCCAAAGGACUGGUACCUCCAUGGGAGUGCCAUGCAAUAUCUCUUUUAAUUUUGAUAACAAUUCAAAGUAGGUAUUUUUCUUUUUAUAUAACUAUAAUUAGCUUCUUUUUAUACAUGAGCAAAUGGGAUGCUCAGAGAUAUACAUUCCAAAAGUCAACCAGCUACUAAAUAUUGGAGUUUGGGUUCAAAUCUGUCUGAUAGAGUUCGUGUUCGUUCUAUUGUUUUCUUGAAGCAUUAGAAUACAUGAAUUUCUGAGUGGAAGGUUUUUAAUUUUUUUGAAUGAAGAAUUUCUAAAAGGUCUGUUAAGUUUGCAGAGAAUGAAGCUCAUUCAGAAUCGAUUCCAAGUUUCUAAGUUCAAUAGUCUUUUCUGUCCUUAUGUAACUUCUCUGGAUCCCUCCUUUUUCUUUUUUAAAUUCUACUCCCCUGGCUUGUGGGAUAUGACCCUCCUUUCUCCCUAUCUUAAUUGCCUCUUCAUUGUUCCUUAACUAUGGCUAUAAUGUAGAGAUUUUUUGCCUUCUUUCCUCAUUUUACAUAUUCCCUUUACAAUUUCAUGUUUCCAUUGUUUCAAAUAUUAAAUAUAUGCAUAUGAAUUUAAAUUUCUUUUCUUCUACUCCAGACACGUCUCCCUAGCUCUAGUAGACUAGGUCUAAUGGUUCCAGAAAGCAAAUAGCUUGGUGGGUGAGGGUGGGAAAGGAGGCUCCCCGCCGUGAAGUGGUAGAGGAGGAGCCAAGUGCAGGGACUGGGACCGUCUCCUUUGUACAUUUAUUCCGUAUUUCAUUCAUUCACUUAUUUAUAAGGAUUUACAUGUUGGCUGGUCUUACGAGUUUUCAAAUCUAGAAUGGCAGACGGUGAUCCAGGUUGCCAAGAAGACUUCACGUGAACAUUUAUUUACUCAGUCCUCGGCCACACAAGCAUAAUGCGUAAAGGCAGAAUCUCGCUUAGUCUCUCAGAGAGAUUUAAACAAAUUUUUGGAGUGCAUCAGUUUAGUCGGACAUUCUAAAAGAAAAAUGGAAAGCAAAUCCCAUUACGGAAGGAGGAAAGCUGGCAAAUAAAGGACUGGAGCAGAUGUGACAUUGCAGCAGAGCAUGAAGAGAACAAGGUUAGGGAGUGGGAAGAAAACGAAUACACCUACGUAGGGAAAAAUGAAAAGCCGGGAGUGGCGCAUAUUAAAAAAAACAAAAAAACAAAAAAAACAACAACCCGCAUUUGCUAAAAAUCCCUGGUAAAAAAAGUCACCUCGUCCUGGGCGGACUUCACCUUCCGGCCCUCAAGUCACGGCGUCCUCAGAGUCCCUGAACGCCACCAGCCGCCAAGCUCGCCCCGCCC